GACGAACCGUCCAAACGUUAUUCGGAAUUAUUGGGCUUAAAGGGUGCGUAGGCUGUGCAGUAAGUUGGGUGUGAAAUCCCUCGGCUCAACCGAGGAACUGCGCCGAAUACUGCUGUGCUAGAGGAAGAUAGGGGUAAGCGGAACUGAUGGUGGAGCGGUGAAAUGCGUUGAUAUCAUCAGGAACACCGGUGGCGAAGGCGGCUUACUGGAUCUUUUCUGACGCUGAUGCACGAAAGCUAGGGGAGCGAACGGGAUUAGAUACCCCGGUAGUCCUAGCUGUAAACGAUGAGCACUUGGUCGGAGGCUCCUCCAUAGGCUUCUGGCCGUAGCGAAAGUGUUAAGUGCUCCGCCUGGGGAGUAUGGUCGCAAGGCUGAA
RNAcentral lists this ribosomal RNA (376 nucleotides) under uncultured bacterium. RNAcentral's name for it is "bacterial SSU rRNA". It matches the Rfam family "Bacterial small subunit ribosomal RNA", at positions 524 to 898 of the family's 1533-position model. The record is from RNAcentral.